GAUUCAUUAUCGACAGGUGUGAUUGAAGUGCUUAGAAAGCACUGCUGUCCCCAUGCUCCCUGAGUAAAAGGAAGACUUCUUCAAGGAGGCAUCUCCUGCCAUGUGACACAACGUGCCCUUAUGAAUCAUGGAACACUCUGCGCAUUACCCAAGGGCAAAAGACUGACCAACGGCUAAGCAGGCACAGUGCCAUCGUAACAGAUGGGCAUCCAUUGAGUAGCCAAGAAGCCAUGAGGAGGUAAUGCACCAAGCAGAUGUGGAGUGGCUGUGUGCUCUCACUCAUUUCUCUUGGUCAGAUAGACAGAAAGAGCAUCUGCACUGGCCCGAAGCAGACCCCUGACAUCAUAAGACAUCUGUAUUCCACCAGUUUUAACAUGAUAUGCUUCGAGAGCCAGAGUGGCUCUGGAAAGGAAUGCACCUGGCACCGGCCACGGAGCAGAGCAGGGGGAAAAGCAGCCGUGGAACUAACUAGCUUUGCUCAAGAGCCAGCUCAGACUGGUUUGUGGCAAAUCUGCCUUUCCAAAAUUACUAAUUGUGAGCUGUCCAAGGCCUGUCAGUAACCACAACAU
Non-coding RNA from Pogona vitticeps (central bearded dragon), 569 nucleotides. The record is from RefSeq and is a predicted model, not a curated record. NCBI's taxonomy places the organism in Eukaryota, Metazoa, Chordata, Lepidosauria, Squamata, Agamidae.